UGCGUAGGCGGUCCUCUAAGUUUGGUGUGAAAUCUCCCGGCUCAACUGGGAGGGUGCGCCGAAAACUGGAGGGCUUGAGUGUGGGAGAGGUAAGCGGAAUUCCUGGUGUAGCGGUGAAAUGCGUAGAUAUCAGGAGGAACACCUGCGGUGUAGACGGCUUACUGGACCACGACUGACGCUGAGGCACGAAAGCGUGGGUAGCAAACAGGAUUAGAUACCCUGGUAGUCCACGCCCUAAACGAUGCAUACUUGGUGUGAGCCGUUCAUUCGGUUCGUGCCGGAGCUAACGCGUUAAGUAUGCCGCCUGGGGAGUACGGUCGCAAGGCUGAA
RNAcentral lists this ribosomal RNA (330 nucleotides) under uncultured bacterium. RNAcentral's name for it is "bacterial SSU rRNA". It matches the Rfam family "Bacterial small subunit ribosomal RNA", at positions 568 to 898 of the family's 1533-position model. The record is from RNAcentral.